GACGAACGCUGGCGGCGUGCUUAACACAUGCAAGUCGAACGGAGUUACUAACGGGCGAGUAACACGUGGGUGACCUGCCUUGCACUUCGGGAUAAGCCUGGGAAACUGGGUCUAAUACCUGCUAGUGGGGGCUGGGCCCGCGGCCUAUCAGCUUGUUGGUGGGGUAAUGGCUUACCAAGGCGGCGACGGGUAGCCGGCCUGAGAGGGUGGACGGGCACAGUGGGACUGAGGAACGGCCCAGACGGCUACGGGAGGAAGCAGUGGGGAAUAUAGGACGAUGGGCGGAAGCAUGGUGCAGCGACGCCGCGUGGGGGAUGACGGCCUUCGGGGUGUAAACGCCUUUCACCGUCGACGCGGUAGAUGGAGAAGAAGCACCGGCUAACUACGUGCCAGCAGCCGCGGUAAUUC
Molecule: ribosomal RNA, 408 nt
Filed under: uncultured bacterium
Lineage: Bacteria
Description: partial 16S ribosomal RNA
Rfam family: Bacterial small subunit ribosomal RNA
Source: RNAcentral